This 477-nucleotide ribosomal RNA is filed under the name uncultured bacterium. Its description in RNAcentral is "bacterial SSU rRNA". It matches the Rfam family "Bacterial small subunit ribosomal RNA", at positions 28 to 507 of the family's 1533-position model. The record is from RNAcentral.
GACGAACGCUGGCGGCGUGCUUAACACAUGCAAGUCGAACGAGAAUCUGUGGAUCGAGGAUUCGUCCAAGUGAAGCAGAGGACAGUGGCGGACGGGUGAGUAACGCGUGAGGAACCUGCCUUUCAGAGGGGGACGACAGUUGGAAACGACUGCUAAUACCGCAUGAUACGUUUUAGGGGCAUCCCUGAGACGUCAAAGAUUUAUCGCUGAAAGAUGGCCUCGCGUCUGAUUAGCUGGUUGGUGAGGUAACGGCCCACCAAGGCGACGAUCAGUAGCCGGACUGAGAGGUUGAACGGCCACAUUGGGACUGAGAUACGGCCCAGACUCCUACGGGAGGCAGCAGUGGGGAAUAUUGCACAAUGGGGGAAACCCUGAUGCAGCGACGCCGCGUGGAGGAAGAAGGUUUCGGAUUGUAAACUCCUGUCGUUAGGGACGAUAAUGACGGUACCUAACAAGAAAGCACCGGCUAACUACGUG